RNAcentral lists this ribosomal RNA (253 nucleotides) under uncultured bacterium. Its description in RNAcentral is "partial 16S ribosomal RNA". It matches the Rfam family "Bacterial small subunit ribosomal RNA", at positions 524 to 776 of the family's 1533-position model. The record is from RNAcentral.
GACAGAGGGGGCAAACGUUGUUCGGAAUUACUGGGCGUAAAGCGCGUGUAGGCGGCCCUGUAAGUCGGGUGUGAAAUCCCACGGCUCAACCGUGGAAGUGCAUUCGAAACUGCAGGGCUAGAGUCCUGGAGAGGAAGGUGGAAUGCUUGGUGUAGAGGUGAAAUUCGUAGAUAUCAAGCGGAACACCGGUGGCGAAGGCGGCCUUCUGGACAGUGACUGACGCUGAGACGCGAAAGCGUGGGGAGCAAACAGG